CAGCCGCCGCGGUAAUACAGAGGGUGCAAGCGUUAAUCGGAAUUACUGGGCGUAAAGCGUGCGUAGGCGGCUUCUUAAGUCGGAUGUGAAAUCCCUGAGCUUAACUUAGGAAUUGCAUUCGAUACUGGGAAGCUAGAGUAUGGGAGAGGAUGGUAGAAUUCCAGGUGUAGCGGUGAAAUGCGUAGAGAUCUGGAGGAAUACCGAUGGCGAAGGCAGCCAUCUGGCCUAAUACUGACGCUGAGGUACGAAAGCAUGGGGAGCAAACAGGAUUAGAUACCCGAGUAGUCCCUGUCUCUUAUAC
RNAcentral lists this ribosomal RNA (301 nucleotides) under uncultured bacterium. RNAcentral's name for it is "partial 16S ribosomal RNA". It matches the Rfam family "Bacterial small subunit ribosomal RNA", at positions 509 to 807 of the family's 1533-position model. The record is from RNAcentral.